GUAGGUGGCAAGCGUUGUCCGGAAUUAUUGGGCGUAAAGCGCGCGCAGGUGGUUCUUUAAGUCUGAUGUGAAAGCCCCCGGGCUCAACCGGGGAGGGUCAUUGGAAACUGGGGAACUUGAGUGCAGGAGAGGAAAGUGGAAUUCCACGUGUAGCGGUGAAAUGCGUAGAUAUGUGGAGGAACACCAGUGGCGAAGGCGACUUUCUGGCCUGUAACUGACACUGAGGCGCGAAAGCGUGGGGAGCAAACAGGAUUAGAUACCCUGGUAGUCCACGCCGCAAACGAUGAGUGCUAAGUGUUGGGGGGUUUCCGCCCCUCAGUGCUGCAGCUAACGCAUUAAGCACUCCGCCCGGGGAGUACGGUCGCAAAGACUG
Molecule: ribosomal RNA, 373 nt
Filed under: uncultured organism
Description: partial 16S ribosomal RNA
Rfam family: Bacterial small subunit ribosomal RNA
Source: RNAcentral